UACAGAGGGUGCAAGCGUUAUUCGGAAUCACUGGGCGUAAAGAGCUCGUAGGCGGUUAAUUAAGUCGAAUGUGAAAUCCCUGGGCUCAAUCCAGGAAGUGCAUCCGAUACUGAUUGACUGGAGUGCAGGAGAGGAAAGCGGAAUUCCAGGUGUAGAGGUGAAAUUCGUAGAUAUCUGGAGGAACAACAGAAGCGAAGGCGGCUUUCUGGACUGUCACUGACGCUGAGGAGCGAAAGCGUGGGGAGCAAACAGG
Molecule: ribosomal RNA, 253 nt
Filed under: uncultured bacterium
Lineage: Bacteria
Description: partial 16S ribosomal RNA
Rfam family: Bacterial small subunit ribosomal RNA
Source: RNAcentral